This 235-nucleotide ribosomal RNA is filed under the name uncultured bacterium. RNAcentral describes it as "partial 16S ribosomal RNA". It matches the Rfam family "Bacterial small subunit ribosomal RNA", at positions 100 to 334 of the family's 1533-position model. The record is from RNAcentral.
CGGUACGGGUGCGGAACACGUGUGCAACCUGCCUUUAUCUGGGGGAUAGCCUUUCGAAAGGAAGAUUAAUACUCCAUAAUAUAUUGAACGGCAUCGUUUAAUAUUGAAAGCUCCGGCGGAUAGAGAUGGGCACGCGCAAGAUUAGCUAGUUGGUGAGGUAACGGCUCACCAAGGCGAUGAUCUUUAGGGGGCCUGAGAGGGCGAUCCCCCACACUGGUACUGAGACACGGACCAG